RNAcentral lists this ribosomal RNA (497 nucleotides) under uncultured bacterium. RNAcentral's name for it is "partial 16S ribosomal RNA". It matches the Rfam family "Bacterial small subunit ribosomal RNA", at positions 28 to 507 of the family's 1533-position model. The record is from RNAcentral.
GACGAACGCUGGCGGCGUGCCUAAUACAUGCAAGUUGAGCGAUGAAGAUUGGUGCUUGCACCAAUUUGAAGAGCAGCGAACGGGUGAGUAACGCGUGGGGAAUCUGCCUUUGAGCGGGGGACAACAUUUGGAAACGAAUGCUAAUACCGCAUAACAACUUUAAACAUAAGUUUUAAGUUUGAAAGAUGCAAUUGCAUCACUCAAAGAUGAUCCCGCGUUGUAUUAGCUAGUUGGUGAGGUAAAGGCUCACCAAGGCGAUGAUACAUAGCCGACCUGAGAGGGGGGACGGCCACAUUGGGGCUUGGACACGGCCCAAGCUCCUACGGGAGGCAGCAGUAGGGAAUCUUCGGCAAUGGGCGGAAGUCUGACCGAGCAACGCCGCGUGAGUGAAGAAGGUUUUCGGAUCGUAAAACUCUGUUGGUAGAGAAGAACGUUGGUGAGAGUGGAAAGCUCAUCAAGUGACGGUAACUACCCAGAAAGGGACGGCUAACUACGUG